RNAcentral lists this ribosomal RNA (452 nucleotides) under Pagrus major (red seabream). Its description in RNAcentral is "partial 16S ribosomal RNA". It matches the Rfam family "Bacterial large subunit ribosomal RNA", at positions 1997 to 2599 of the family's 2925-position model. The record is from RNAcentral. Lineage: Eukaryota; Metazoa; Chordata; Actinopteri; Spariformes; Sparidae.
UGGCAUCACGAGGGCUUAACUGUCUCCCCUCCCCAGUCAAUGAAAUUGAUCUCCCCGUGCAGAAGCGGGGAUAAUACCAUAAGACGAGAAGACCCUAUGGAGCUUUAGACGUCAGAGCAGCCCAUGUAAAGCACCCCUUAACAAAGGAAAAAACCAAAUGAAGCCUGCCCUAAUGUCUUUGGUUGGGGCGACCGCGGGGAAAUACAAAACCCCCAUGUGGAGUAGGAAUACACAUUCCUAAACCCAAGAGCUCCCGCUCUAAUGAACAGAAAUUCUGACCAAUAAGAUCCGGCACACGCCGAUCAACGGACCGAGUUACCCUAGGGAUAACAGCGCAAUCCCCUUAAAGAGCCCUUAUCGACAAGGGGGUUUACGACCUCGAUGUUGGAUCAGGACAUCCUAAUGGUGCAGCCGCUAUUAAGGGUUCGUUUGUUCAACGAUUAAAGNCCUAC